Theobroma cacao (cacao) is the source of this 280-nucleotide non-coding RNA. The record is from RefSeq and is a predicted model, not a curated record. NCBI's taxonomy places the organism in Eukaryota, Viridiplantae, Streptophyta, Magnoliopsida, Malvales, Malvaceae.
CAAAGAAAAAGUGUGAAUUUUCAAGGAAAUUAAGUGAAAAAGGUGGUGUGCCCUUCGACAAAGGCAAGGAAAUUACGCUUGGGGAUCACUAAGCUGAGUACACCCGAAAUCUGAACUUUUGAAACUUACUCGGGAUAGUCGGUAGAUAGCCGAUUGCAUCAAGGACUUCAUUUAGCCUUGCAUAGACAAAAUUGUAAGUUCACAGACUUGCACCUUAUUGGUUAGUUAUGGGCUCACAUGUCAUUGUAAAAGCAAUUUUAUACUUCAGUUAUCUGAUUUA